Molecule: ribosomal RNA, 365 nt
Filed under: uncultured bacterium
Lineage: Bacteria
Description: bacterial SSU rRNA
Rfam family: Bacterial small subunit ribosomal RNA
Source: RNAcentral
AUUGAACGCUGGCGGCAUGCCUUACACAUGCAAGUCGAACGGUAACGCGGGGCAACCUGGCGACGAGUGGCGAACGGGUGAGUAAUACAUCGGAACGUGCCCAGUAGUGGGGGAUAGCCCGGCGAAAGCCGGAUUAAUACCGCAUACGACCUAUGGGUGAAAGCGGGGGAGUCGCAAGACCUCGCGCUAUUGGAGCGGCCGAUGUCAGAUUAGGUAGUUGGUGGGGUAAAAGCCUACCAAGCCGACGAUCUGUAGCUGGUCUGAGAGGACGACCAGCCACACUGGGACUGAGACACGGCCCAGACUCCUACGGGAGGCAGCAGUGGGGAAUUUUGGACAAUGGGCGCAAGCCUGAUCCAGCCAUG